RNAcentral lists this ribosomal RNA (483 nucleotides) under uncultured bacterium. Its description in RNAcentral is "partial 16S ribosomal RNA". It matches the Rfam family "Bacterial small subunit ribosomal RNA", at positions 30 to 507 of the family's 1533-position model. The record is from RNAcentral.
AUUGAACGCUGGCGGCAGGCCUAACACAUGCGAGUCGAGCGGAUGAAGGGAGCUUGCUCCUGGAUUCAGCGGCGGACGGGUGAGUAAUGCCUAGGAAUCUGCCUGGUAGUGGGGGAUAACGUCCGGAAACGGGCGCUAAUACCGCAUACGUCCUGAGGGAGAAAGUGGGGGAUCUUCGGACCUCACGCUAUCAGAUGAGCCUAGGUCGGAUUAGCUAGUUGGUGGGGUAAAGGCCUACCAAGGCGACGAUCCGUAACUGGUCUGAGAGGAUGAUCAGUCACACUGGAACUGAGACACGGUCCAGACUCCUACGGGAGGCAGCAGUGGGGAAUAUUGGACAAUGGGCGAAAGCCUGAUCCAGCCAUGCCGCGUGUGUGAAGAAGGUCUUCGGAUUGUAAAGCACUUUAAGUUGGGAGGAAGGGCAGUAGUUAAUACCUUGCUGUUUUGACGUUACCAACAGAAUAAGCACCGGCUAACUUCGUG